This 368-nucleotide ribosomal RNA is filed under the name uncultured bacterium. RNAcentral's name for it is "bacterial SSU rRNA". It matches the Rfam family "Bacterial small subunit ribosomal RNA", at positions 774 to 1138 of the family's 1533-position model. The record is from RNAcentral.
AGUAAAUAGAUACCCCGGUAGUCCAUGCCGUAAACGAUGUCUACUAGCCGUUGGGGCCUUUGAGGCUUUAGUGGCGCAGCUAAACGCGAUAAGUAGACCGCCUGGGGAGUACGGUCGCAAGACUAAAACUCAAAUGAAUUGACGGGGGCCCGCACAAGCGGUGGAGCAUGUGGUUUAAAUUCGAUGCAACGCGAAGAACCUUACCUGGCCUUGACAUAGUAAGAACUUUCCAGAGAUGGAUUGGUGCCUUCGGGAACUUACAUACAGGUGCUGCAUGGCUGUCGUCAGCUCGUGUCGUGAGAUGUUGGGUUAAGUCCCGCAACGAGCGCAACCCUUUUCCUUAUUUGCCAGCGAGUAAUGUCGGGAAC